This 73-nucleotide transfer RNA is filed under the name Vicugna pacos (alpaca). RNAcentral's name for it is "tRNA-Ala (AGC) (tRNA-Ala-AGC-642-1)". It matches the Rfam family "tRNA". Rfam says of the family: Transfer RNA (tRNA) molecules are approximately 80 nucleotides in length. Their secondary structure includes four short double-helical elements and three loops (D, anti-codon, and T loops). The record is from RNAcentral. Lineage: Eukaryota; Metazoa; Chordata; Mammalia; Artiodactyla; Camelidae.
GGAGGGUAUAGCUCAGUGGUAGAGUGCAUGCCUAGCAUGCAUGAGGUCCUGAGUUCAAUUCCCAGUACCUCCA